GAUGAACGCUGGCGGCGUGCCUAAUACAUGCAAGUCGAGCGAACAGACGAUGAGCUUUCUCCUCUGACGGUAGCGACGGACGGGUGAGUAACACGUGGAUAACCUACCUAUAAUACUGGGAGGACUACGGGAAACCGGAGCCAAUACCGGAUAAUAUAUUGAACCGCUUGAUUCAAUAGUUAUAGACGCCUUUGCUGUCACUAAUAGAUGGAUCCGCGCCGCAUUAGCUAGUUGGUAAGGUAACGGCUUACCAAGGCAACGAUGCGUAGCCGACCUGAGAGGAUGAUCGGCCACACUGGAACUGAGACACGGUCCAGACUCCUACGGGAGGCAGCAGUAGGGAAUAUUCGGCAAUGGGCGAAAGCUUGAUGGAGCAAUGCCGCGUGAGUGAUGAAGGUCUUCGGGUCGUAAAGCUCUGUUAUUGGGGAAGAACAACUGUGUAAGUAACUCUGGACGUCUUGACGGUACCUAAUGAGAAAGCACCGGCUAACUACGUG
RNAcentral lists this ribosomal RNA (497 nucleotides) under uncultured bacterium. RNAcentral describes it as "partial 16S ribosomal RNA". It matches the Rfam family "Bacterial small subunit ribosomal RNA", at positions 28 to 507 of the family's 1533-position model. The record is from RNAcentral.